GAUGAAGAACGUAGCGAAAUGCGAUACGUAAUGUGAAUUGCAGAAUUCAGUGAAUCAUCGAAUCUUUGAACGCAUAUUGCGCUCUCUGGUAUUCCGGAGAGCAUGCUUGUUUGAGUAUCAGUAAACACCUCAACUUCCAUAUCUUUUUUGAAAUGGGAGUUGGACUUGAGUGAUCCCAACGCUUUUCCUCACCGAAAAGUGGCGGGUUACUUGAAAUGCAGGUGCAGCUGGACUUUUCUCUGAGCUAUACGCAUAUCUAUUUAGUCUGCCUAAAAAACAGAUUAUUACCUUUGCUGCAGCUAACAUAAAGGAGAUUAGUUCUUGUGCUGACUGAUGCAGGAUUCACAAAAACGGCUUCGGCCGACUUUGUAAACUCGAUCUCAAAUCAAGUAAGACUACCCGCUGAACUUAAGCAUAUCAAUAAGCGGAGGA
RNAcentral lists this unclassified non-coding RNA (432 nucleotides) under soil metagenome. RNAcentral describes it as "partial contains 5.8S ribosomal RNA, internal transcribed spacer 2, and large subunit ribosomal RNA". The stretch from base 1 to 120 matches the Rfam family "5.8S ribosomal RNA", at positions 35 to 154 of the family's 154-position model. The record is from RNAcentral.